GUCGAGCGGACAGAAGGGAGCUUGCUCCCGGAUGUUAGCGGCGGACGGGUGAGUAACACGUGGGUAACCUGCCUGUAAGACUGGGAUAACUCCGGGAAACCGGAGCUAAUACCGGAUAGUUCCUUGAACCGCAUGGUUCAAGGAUGAAAGACGGUUUCGGCUGUCACUUACAGAUGGACCCGCGGCGCAUUAGCUAGUUGGUGAGGUAACGGCUCACCAAGGCGACGAUGCGUAGCCGACCUGAGAGGGUGAUCGGCCACACUGGGACUGAGACACGGCCCAGACUCCUACGGGAGGCAGCAGUAGGGAAUCUUCCGCAAUGGACGAAAGUCUGACGGAGCAACGCCGCGUGAGUGAUGAAGGUUUUCGGAUCGUAAAGCUCUGUUGUUAGGGAAGAACAAGUGCAAGAGUAACUGCUUGCACCUUGACGGUACCUAACCAGAAAGCCACGGCUAACUACGUGCCAGCAGCCGCGGUAAUACGUAGGUGGCAAGCGUUGUCCGGAAUUAUUGGGCGUAAAGGGCUCGCAGGCGGUUUCUUAAGUCUGAUGUGAAAGCCCCCGGCUCAACCGGGGAGGGUCAUUGGAAACUGGGAAACUUGAGUGCAGAAGAGGAGAGUGGAAUUCCACGUGUAGCGGUGAAAUGCGUAGAGAUGUGGAGGAACACCAGUGGCGAAGGCGACUCUCUGGUCUGUAACUGACGCUGAGGAGCGAAAGCGUGGGGAGCGAACAGGAUUAGAUACCCUGGUAGUCCACGCCGUAAACGAUGAGUGCUAAGUGUUAGGGGGUUUCCGCC
This 794-nucleotide ribosomal RNA is filed under the name Bacillus altitudinis. RNAcentral's name for it is "bacterial SSU rRNA". It matches the Rfam family "Bacterial small subunit ribosomal RNA", at positions 61 to 838 of the family's 1533-position model. The record is from RNAcentral. Lineage: Bacteria; Bacillati; Bacillota; Bacilli; Caryophanales; Bacillaceae.